GAUGAACGCUGGCGGCGUGCCUAAUACAUGCAAGUCGAGCGAACGGACGAGAAGCUUGCUUCUCUGAUGUUAGCGGCGGACGGGUGAGUAACACGUGGAUAACCUACCUAUAAGACUGGGAUAACUUCGGGAAACCGUAGCUAAUACCGGAUAAUAUUUUGAACCGCAUGGUUCAAAAGUGAAAGACGGUCUUGCUGUCACUUAUAGAUGGAUCCGCGCUGCAUUAGCUAGUUGGUAAGGUAACGGCUUACCAAGGCAACGAUGCAUAGCCGACCUGAGAGGGUGAUCGGCCACACUGGAACUGAGACACGAUCCAGACUCCUACGGGAGGCAGCAGUAGGGAAUCUUCCGCAAUGGGCGAAAGCCUGACGGAGCAACGCCGCGUGAGUGAUGAAGGUCUUCGGAUCGUAAAACUCUGUUAUUAGGGAAGAACAUAUGUGUAAGUAACUGUGCACAUCUUGACGGUACCUAAUCAGAAAGCCGCGGCUAACUACGUG
This 497-nucleotide ribosomal RNA is filed under the name uncultured bacterium. RNAcentral's name for it is "partial 16S ribosomal RNA". It matches the Rfam family "Bacterial small subunit ribosomal RNA", at positions 28 to 507 of the family's 1533-position model. The record is from RNAcentral.